RNAcentral lists this ribosomal RNA (132 nucleotides) under Candidatus Altimarinota bacterium. RNAcentral's name for it is "partial 16S ribosomal RNA". It matches the Rfam family "Bacterial small subunit ribosomal RNA", at positions 1410 to 1533 of the family's 1533-position model. The record is from RNAcentral. Lineage: Bacteria; Candidatus Altimarinota.
GUGGUCAAUGCUUGAAGUCCGCCGGCUAACGGGCAACCGAGGCAGCGGCCGAGGGCAGGGAUCGCGACUGGGACGAGUCGUAACAAGGUAGCCCGUAGCGGAAGCUGCGGCUGGAUCACCUCCUUUCUAGGG